This 327-nucleotide ribosomal RNA is filed under the name uncultured bacterium. RNAcentral describes it as "bacterial SSU rRNA". It matches the Rfam family "Bacterial small subunit ribosomal RNA", at positions 8 to 334 of the family's 1533-position model. The record is from RNAcentral.
AGAGUUCGAUUAUGGCUCAGGAUGAACGCUGGCGGCGUGCCUAACACAUGCAAGUCGAACGGUUAAACCGCCCUCGGGCGGACAUAGAGUGGCGAACGGGUGAGUAACACGUGGCCAACCUGCCCCCCUCUCCGGGACAGCCGCGGGAAACCGCGAUUAAUACCGGAUGACGCCCGGGCCCCGCAUGGGGCCCGGGCCAAAGCCCAGGCGGAGGGGGAUGGGGCCGCGGCCCAUCAGGCAGACGGCGGGGUGACGGCCCACCGUGCUUUCGACGGGUAGCCGGGUUGAGAGACCGACCGGCCACAUUGGGACUGAGAUACGGCCCAG